This 429-nucleotide ribosomal RNA is filed under the name Bacteroidota bacterium. RNAcentral describes it as "Bacteroidetes bacterium partial 16S ribosomal RNA". It matches the Rfam family "Bacterial small subunit ribosomal RNA", at positions 355 to 776 of the family's 1533-position model. The record is from RNAcentral. Lineage: Bacteria; Pseudomonadati; Bacteroidota.
UAGGGAAUCUUCCGCAAUGGACGCAAGUCUGACGGAGCAACGCCGCGUGAGUGAAGAAGGAUUUCGGUUCGUAAAACUCUGUUGUUAGAGAAGAACAGCGCAUAGAGUAACUGUUAUGCGUGUGACGGUAUCUAACCAGAAAGCCACGGCUAACUACGUGCCAGCAGCCGCGGUAAUACGUAGGUGGCAAGCGUUGUCCGGAUUUAUUGGGCGUAAAGCGAGCGCAGGCGGUCAAUUAAGUCUGAUGUGAAAGCCCCCGGCUCAACCGGGGAGGGUCAUUGGAAACUGGUUGACUGGAGUGCAGAAGAGGAGGGUGGAAUUCCAUGUGUAGCGGUGAACUGCGUAGAUAUAUGGAGGAACACCGGUGGCGAAAGCGGCUCUCUGGUCUGUAACUGACGCUGAGGCUCGAAAGCGUGGGGAGCGAACAGG